UUGGAAGAGGAUUAGAUGAUCUUAAUAUGUCUGUCAACUCACAGUGAUGUUCUGCCACGGAUGGCAGAACAAGGCAGCAUCGAGCCACGGAUGGCUCGUUGUUGCCGCUCACGUCCGCCUUAACCCCACCCCAUCAGACAUAUUUAGCUCAUCUUAUUCUCGCA
RNAcentral lists this non-coding RNA (164 nucleotides) under uncultured Roseburia sp. The record is from RNAcentral. Lineage: Bacteria; Bacillati; Bacillota; Clostridia; Lachnospirales; Lachnospiraceae.